AUGCAGGCUCCUAAAUUCUCAUUUAUUUUUUCCUUAGAUUUAUCUGUGGCUGAUAUGAUAUGCAUUGUACCAAAUGGUACAGCUUCUAAAAACUUGAUAAAUCAAAUUAAUUACAAAGAGAAACAGACACAAAUAACUAUUCUUCAAAAUAAUUCUUGUCCAGUGCAUUAUUUUAAUACUUCUAUUAAUCAAUGUUCUACAGAAGUGUGGAUACUCCUAUUCAUUUAUGCUAUCUUACCUCUUACCUUGUAUAAGUCUGGUCUAUGUCUUUUCCCCAAUAUUAUUUUUUAAACCCUUACUUUCUGUCUUAGAAUCAAUACUAUAUAUUGGUUCCAAGGCAGAAGAGUGGUAAGAUCUAGGCAAUGGCACUAAGGUGAUUUUCCCAUGGUCAUUCAGCUAGGAAGUAUCUGAGACCAGAUUUGAAAUGAGGAUCUCCCAUCUCUAAGCCUGGCUCUCAAUUCACUGAUACCUACCCAAUAUUCUAGAAAAGAUACAUCCAAUGGUGUGAUGACCUGCCUUUAGUCCUUUUGUGGCUUGUAAGGCAGCAGUGAACCAUAAUUAGGGUCAUAGAUUUAGAGCUCAUCUUAGGAAUCACAUAAUCCAAAACUCUUAAUUUUAAAAGUUCAGAGACUUGAAAUAAGUUGCCCAAAGUCACAGAGAUAGUAAGUAGAAGACUUGAACCCAGGUCUUCUGACCUCAGAGUCAAGUCUCUUUCUACUGCCCUCUUUCCCUGUCAUAUAAAUCAUCUCUGAUGUCCUUUAUAUCUUACACACAAAUCAUCAGCAUAUAUGUGCCACAAUUUGCUGACCAUUGGACCACAUCUAUUGAGAUUUGGGUCACCUAUAGCUGUGAUAUUCUGAGGGUAUGAAGAUCCAUGAUUCCUAGGCAUGUAACUUUAUAAUGGGCAUACAGAUAUAUAAAGAAUUGUUUUGUGCGAUUUGGAGGUAGGUGGAAGGAAGCCAUCACUGACAGAGGUGGGUGAAGGGAGGUCCAAGAAGGAUUCCUGGAGAAGGUGACAUCUGAAUUGGUCUUUUAAGGAUAGAUAGGAAUUUAAGGAUGGGGAGGAUAUUCUAGGGAUAAGCAAUAGUAUGAAUAGGUAGAAAUAGACCGUGUAUUGGUGGGGUGACUCCUCCAGGAAAACACAAGGAGGAUUCCUGGAUCACGACUAACCAUGUCUCUGCUCCAAUGUUGUCUUUUCUGGAUUCACUUAAAUCCUAUGUCCUCCUUUCUAAGGCUGCUAUUCCUGGUCCUUCACUACUAUUCCAUCACUCGCCAUCUCUUUUUCAGUUAA
Molecule: long non-coding RNA, 1291 nt
Filed under: Monodelphis domestica (gray short-tailed opossum)
Lineage: Eukaryota; Metazoa; Chordata; Mammalia; Didelphimorphia; Didelphidae
Description: lncRNA (ENSMODG00000038498.1)
Source: RNAcentral